UACAGGCUUAACACAUGCAAGUCGAGGGGCAGCAUGGUCUUAGCUUGCUAAGGCCGAUGGCGACCGGCGCACGGGUGAGUAACACGUAUCCAACCUGCCGUCUACUCUUGGACAGCCUUCUGAAAGGAAGAUUAAUACAAGAUGGCAUCAUGAGUCCGCAUGUUCACAUGAUUAAAGGUAUUCCGGUAGACGAUGGGGAUGCGUUCCAUUAGAUAGUAGGCGGGGUAACGGCCCACCUAGUCUUCGAUGGAUAGGGGUUCUGAGAGGAAGGUCCCCCACAUUGGAACUGAGACACGGUCCAAACUCCUACGGGAGGCAGCAGUGAGGAAUAUUGGUCAAUGGGCGAGAGCCUGAACCAGCCAAGUAGCGUGAAGGAUGACUGCCCUAUGGGUUGUAAACUUCUUUUAUAAAGGAAUAAAGUCGGGUAUGGAUACCCGUUUGCAUGUACUUUAUGAAUAAGGAUCGGCUAACUCCGUGCCAGCAGCCGCGGUAAUACGGAGGAUCCGAGCGUUAUCCGGAUUUAUUGGGUUUAAAGGGAGCGUAGAUGGAUGUUUAAGUCAGUUGUGAAAGUUUGCGGCUCAACCGUAAAAUUGCAGUUGAUACUGGAUAUCUUGAGUGCAGUUGAGGCAGGCGGAAUUCGUGGUGUAGCGGUGAAAUGCUUAGAUAUCACGAAGAACUCCGAUUGCGAAGGCAGCCUGCUAAGCUGCAACUGACAUUGAGGCUCGAAAGUGUGGGUAUCAAACAGGAUUAGAUACCCUGGUAGUCCACACGGUAAACGAUGAAUACUCGCUGUUUGCGAUAUACAGCAAGCGGCCAAGCGAAAGCGUUAAGUAUUCCACCUGGGGAGUACGCCGGCAACGGUGAAACUCAAAGGAAUUGACGGGGGCCCGCACAAGCGGAGGAACAUGUGGUUUAAUUCGAUGAUACGCGAGGAACCUUACCCGGGCUUAAAUUGCAGAUGAAUUACGGUGAAAGCCGUAAGCCGCAAGGCAUCUGUGAAGGUGCUGCAUGGUUGUCGUCAGCUCGUGCCGUGAGGUGUCGGCUUAAGUGCCAUAACGAGCGCAACCCUUGUUGUCAGUUACUAACAGGUUCCGCUGAGGACUCUGACAAGACUGCCAUCGUAAGAUGUGAGGAAGGUGGGGAUGACGUCAAAUCAGCACGGCCCUUACGUCCGGGGCUACACACGUGUUACAAUGGGGGGUACAGAGGGCCGCUACCACGCGAGUGGAUGCCAAUCCCCAAAACCUCUCUCAGUUCGGACUGGAGUCUGCAACCCGACUCCACGAAGCUGGAUUCGCUAGUAAUCGCGCAUCAGCCACGGCGCGGUGAAUACGUUCCCGGGCCUUGUACACACCGCCCGUCAAGCCAUGGGAGCCGGGGGUACCUGAAGUGCGUAACCGCGAGGAGCGCCCUAGGGUAAAACUGGUGACUGGGGCUAAGUCAUAAC
RNAcentral lists this ribosomal RNA (1447 nucleotides) under uncultured organism. RNAcentral describes it as "SSU rRNA". It matches the Rfam family "Bacterial small subunit ribosomal RNA". The record is from RNAcentral.